UGUGGUUAAAAAGCUCGUAGUUGGAUCUCAACAGUCUUGAAGCGGUCAACUUUGUAGUUGUACUGCUUUGUAGACUGUGCUUUUGCUGGAGGUUUAGGGGUGCUCUUAAUCGAGUGUCUCUGGAUGCCAGCAGGUUUACUUUGAAAAAAUUAGAGUGCUCAAAGCAGGCUAAAAUGCCUGAAUAUUCGUGCAUGGAAUAAUAGAAUAGGAUGUCGAUCCUAUUUUGUUGGUUUUCGGGACUUGACGUAAUGAUUAAUAGGGACAGUCGGGGGCAUUUGUAUUCAAACGACAGAGGUGAAAUUCUUGGACCGUUUGAAGACAAACUACUGCGAAAGCAUUUGCCAAGAAUGUUUUCAUUAAUCAAGAACGAAAGUUAGAGGUUCGAAGGCGAUUAGAUACCGCCCUAGUUCUAACCAUAAACGAUGCCAGCUAGCGAUCUGCCGCUGUUUUUACUG
Molecule: ribosomal RNA, 455 nt
Filed under: uncultured marine eukaryote
Lineage: Eukaryota
Description: SSU rRNA
Rfam family: Eukaryotic small subunit ribosomal RNA
Source: RNAcentral